AUGGAAAGUGACAAUGACCUCUCCCAAGGGGACAGCAGGAGUGACAAGGAGCUGUCCCCAGGUGAAGACAAGACUGAAAAAGAGCUGUCCCAAUGGCUAGAACAUGAAGCUGGAGAGCUCUCCCAAUGGGAAGAACAAGAGGAUGAAGCACUCUCCCAAUGGGAAGAAUGUGAGGUUGAAGAGCUGAGAAGGAUGGCCCUGCUUGGUGGUAUGGAAGAAGAUUCAGGCUCAUCACCUGAACUGCCUGAAGUGGAGGAGAUAUCAAGGCAUCAGAAGGUUGUGGAAUGGCUGGAAGCCAAUUUCCCCAAUGAUUAUGGUGAUGAGGAGGAAGAGAAGGAAGAGAAGGAAACGAAACUGAAUCAAAGAAUGCAAUGGUGCAAGCAGAAGGUGGAGGCCCAAUGGCGAGAGCUGUUGGACUCCUUGUCACUUCUCAGUUUCAAUCUCAGUGACAAUGUGCAUUCCAAAGGGGAGCAGUGCAAAGGCCAAGAGAUGUCCCAAGGGGAAGUUGCCAUCCAGGACAACAUCUGCAAUAAACCCUUGGUAGAUAAUGAGGAACCCCUGGAGGGGCCCAGCUGCUCCAGGCAUGUGGGUGCAGAGCUGGCAGCAGAGGCAGCCCGUGCCCUGCCCUAUGGAGUCCCACGGACACCGAGCUGGCAGCUGCUACCCCGGCCGGAGCUACUGAGGAGGAGGAGCCCCCUGAGCUUCUUGCUCCAGAGGAUGGAAAGGCAGCACGUUCUCUUGUCCUCAGUGAGGUGAGGACAGCCCCAGACACAUGGAGCCUGCUCAGUGUCCUGUUCUAUACUCCAGCCUGCAGCCCGGCUCAGCUGAGCAUGAGCCAGAGCAGCAGCAGUGAGACCCUGCACACGGCUCUGCUGGAGAUGCAGGCACUGAGGCAGCAGCAGCAGGAAGAGGAUGCCCUGGAAGAAGGGAUUGCUGCAGAAAGAGAAGCAGCAAUUACAGCAAAAAGGGAAGGGAGCCCAGUGCCUGCCCCGCACGGCCCCCCCAGGACCUUGCCCCAGCUGGGAGCCCAGGCCCUCCGUGAGCAGCCGGUUGUCCCCAAGAGACGUCCCUCCCGCUUCAGGCGGGCGCUGCGGGCGCUGCGGGCGCUGUUCCGGUGGCCCUGCCUGAGGCCACAGCCGGAGGAGUAAAACAGGGCACCGAGAGCAGGGAUUGCUCCCACAGCCUCCCUCCCGGCAGGACUGCGGCUCACACGGGGCGGCCAACACCAACGGGAGCUGGGACACCAACGGGAACAGGACGAGGAGCACAAAGAAGACAAAGACAACGAAGAAGAGGAAGAAGAUGAUGAAGGAAAUGUAGAAGAUGAAGACGAAGAAGAGAACGAAGAUGAAGAAAACAAAGCUGACAAGACAAUGACGAAGAAGACAGAAGAGAAAAAAGAUGAAGAGGAAGGCAAAGAAAAAAGAUGACAGGUGAAGAAGAUGAAAAAGGCAAAGACAAAGAAAGUAGAAGUGGAAGACUGUAAAAAUACUAAGAAGAAUAGUAAAGAGAGUAAGAAUUUUAUAAAUAGACAGAAGUAGAAGAAGAAGAGCAGGAAUUAGAAUAAGGAGCAAGAAUUUUAAAAUGUGGAAGAAUAGUAUUAAAAAUAAUAAUAUGUGUUUAAAAAUUCAUUGAAGAAGAAGAUUAAUAAGAAUUCAUAUUUUUAAAUACAUAGAAGACAAGAAAAAUAGGAAGAAGAAGGACAAGAUGAAUAUUUACCCUCCCUUGAGAAAGACCUGCUCCAAUGGGAGGACAA
Molecule: long non-coding RNA, 1756 nt
Organism: Parus major (Great Tit)
Lineage: Eukaryota; Metazoa; Chordata; Aves; Passeriformes; Paridae
Source: Ensembl